This 254-nucleotide ribosomal RNA is filed under the name Streptococcus sp. HMSC072C09. RNAcentral's name for it is "partial 16S ribosomal RNA". It matches the Rfam family "Bacterial small subunit ribosomal RNA", at positions 1 to 244 of the family's 1533-position model. The record is from RNAcentral. Lineage: Bacteria; Bacillati; Bacillota; Bacilli; Lactobacillales; Streptococcaceae.
UUUUAAUGAGAGUUUGAUCCUGGCUCAGGAUGAACGCUGGCGGCGUGCCUAAUACAUGCAAGUAGAACGCUGAAGCUUGGUGCUUGCACCGAGCGGAUGAGUUGCGAACGGGUGAGUAACGCGUAGGUAACCUGCCUCUUAGCGGGGGAUAACUAUUGGAAACGAUAGCUAAUACCGCAUAAAAGACGAUAUCGCAUGAUAUUGAUUUGAAAGGUGCAAAUGCAUCACUAAGAGAUGGACCUGCGUUGUAUUAG